Molecule: long non-coding RNA, 1725 nt
Organism: Nerophis ophidion (straightnose pipefish)
Lineage: Eukaryota; Metazoa; Chordata; Actinopteri; Syngnathiformes; Syngnathidae
Exons: 4
Source: RefSeq, a predicted model, not a curated record
UGACAAUAUUUACAUAAUUAUUCCAACAGCCCGCCACCCGGAUAUGUGCACGCCAAUUAAGAUUGCUCGCCAAUAUGUGCUUGCACUGCACACCGGAUAAGAUUGCCCGCCACUACAGUAUGAAGCAUAACUGAUAAAACAUUGAAUAUCAAGCGUAAGUUGUGGGACAUUAGCCGUUAUUAUUCUGAAUUAAAGGUCCAACGAGACGACUUACUCCUCUUCUUUCUUUUAUUUUGUGCUUACACAACAUACACACUCAUCCAAUGUGUUUAUCUACGAGCAAUGCAAGUAGUUGCUCUAGAAGCUUCUUAUUUGCUCUGUGACGUCCUGGUGGCGUUGUGGUGACGAGUUGUUCUCUCGUGGGUGCAGCGAAGAUGGACACAGCGUGAGGUAGGAACAAUAAUUUAUUUAUACUAACUAAAACAGACUAAGAACCAAAAACACUUGCUCGAAGGCACUAACAAACAAAACAGAAAGCGCUAGCAUGAGUUAGGGACAAACAACUGAAAUAGCAUGGAAGCUAAUGUACAUGGAGGUAGUUACCACAAUGCUGGAAAGAGCGACGUCAACUGUAGCGUGAAGCAAACAAAAGUCCAAGAAAGAAUGUCAAACAAACGCGUUCUUAAAUAGGGAGAUAACUAAUCAAGGGUAGGUGCGCGUGAUCAAAGGAGAGACAGGUGACAUUAAAUGAGUAACUAUGACAACGGAACAAAACCAGGAAGUGCCACAAAGAACUGAGGAAGACAGAUAAUAGACAGACUGUGAUAACGAACAGAACCAAAACCAGAAUAUGCCAUGAUCCAAGAUGUGGAUCAUGACAUGCUCACCUCAAUAUAAUUUCUUGCAUUACAGACACCUGUGGCCAACUAUGUUACUACACUCAAUAAUGCAAUCAAGCCAAUGAAUGAAUCAACACGGAAAGUACUCUAUUAGCCACAUAUUUUAAUUGCAAUGUCUAAUUUUUGUAUAAACUCUAUAUGCACAAGAUAUAACGUCCUCUCCUCCAUGAAGACAUUUCACAUAAUCAAGAUUCCAAAGGAUGCAGCAGUUGAACUGAUCUUCUUAAUAUUGUCUUUUCAGAAGGGUCAUGACCACUCCAAUCUUCCAAAUCUGGUGUAGUGUCUUGUCAUCUCCAAUGAGUAAUAGACCGCCCUCCUUAAGAGGGGCAGCACACGCUGUCUUGAUGGUAUAAGCAGAUCUCUGAUGCAUGAAGUAUUCCUUUUUCCAGCAAGUCCAGAAGUUGUUGAGAAGUCGCAGGCGACAUUUUCAUCUUCAUGUAAGUUAUUCUCUCUUGGAAUUGCAGGUUUGUCCAGUGGCAUGUAGAUGCCCCGUUGGAAAGGCGGAUAUAAGCCUUCCAAUCAGAAAAUGAGCCGGUGUCAGAGGUUGAGGCUCUUCAAGUUCAUUGUAGACUAAGAUUUGUUUGCACUGCAUCAAGUGGUCUGGUGAGCCACAAGAACCUCAAAGCGUUUAUGUCCUCUUCUGCAAUUGAAAUUUGAAGAUAGACGUCCGGAAGCAGCGUACAGGGGAGAAGGAGGAGCAAUUGGGGCAGAAGAAGUAGGAGAACCAGCAGACGAAGAAGACGAGCGAGACCAGACGAGCGAUGAGCCUCCGAGGAAGACGGAGUCACCGGCGACCGAAAGGCGAGCCGAGACGAGCAGCAAAGGAGGAAGCGCUGGAAAUCGGCGCGGCCGACUGUGACCCAGCACUGUUUAUUGAAAUAAUAAA